RNAcentral lists this ribosomal RNA (244 nucleotides) under uncultured bacterium. RNAcentral's name for it is "partial 16S ribosomal RNA". It matches the Rfam family "Bacterial small subunit ribosomal RNA", at positions 89 to 334 of the family's 1533-position model. The record is from RNAcentral.
UGGCGGCCGGCGCACGGGUGCGUAACGCGUAUGCAACCUACCUUUAACAGGGGGAUAACACUGAGAAAUUGGUACUAAUACCCCAUAGUAUCAUAGAAGGCAUCUUUUAUGGUUGAAAAUUCCGAUGGUUAGAGAUGGGCAUGCGUUGUAUUAGCUAGUUGGUGGGGUAACGGCUCACCAAGGCGACGAUACAUAGGGGGACUGAGAGGUUAACCCCCCACACUGGUACUGAGACACGGACCAG